AUGAACGCUGGCGGCGUGCCUAAUACAUGCAAGUCGAGCGAACAGACGAGGAGCUUGCUCCUUUGACGUUAGCGGCGGACGGGUGAGUAACACGUGGAUAACCUACCUAUAAGACUGGGAUAACUUCGGGAAACCGGAGCUAAUACCGGAUAACAUGUUGAACCGCAUGGUUCAACAGUGAAAGACGGUCUUGCUGUCACUUAUAGAUGGAUCCGCGCCGCAUUAGCUAGUUGGUAAGGUAACGGCUUACCAAGGCAACGAUGCGUAGCCGACCUGAGAGGGUGAUCGGCCACGCUGGAACUGAGACACGGUCCAGACUCCUACGGGAGGCAGCAGUAGGGAAUCUUCCGCAAUGGGCGAAAGCCUGACGGAGCAACGCCGCGUGAGUGAAGAAGGUCUUCGGAUCGUAAAACUCUGUUAUUAGGGAAGAACAAAUGUGUAAGUAACUAUGCACGUCUUGACGGUACCUAAUCAGAAAGCCACGGCUAACUACGUG
Molecule: ribosomal RNA, 496 nt
Filed under: uncultured bacterium
Lineage: Bacteria
Description: partial 16S ribosomal RNA
Rfam family: Bacterial small subunit ribosomal RNA
Source: RNAcentral